AUUGAACGCUGGCGGCAGGCCUAACACAUGCAAGUCGAACGAGUGGCGGACGGGUGAGUAAUGUAUGGGAAACUGCAUGAUGGAGGGGGAUAAAUACUGGAAACGGUAGAUAAUACCGCAUACCAUCAGGUGGCCCCAGAUGGGAUUCGCUUGUUGGUGGGGUAACGGCUCACCAAGGCGGCGAUCCCUAGCUGGUCUGAGAGGAUGAAGAGCCACACUGGGACUGAGACACGGUCCAGACUCCUAUGGGAGGCAGCAGUGGGGAAUAUUGCACAAUGGGCGCAAGCCUGAUGCAGCCAUGCCGCGUGUAUGAAGAAGGCCUUCGGGUUGUAAAGUACUUUCAGCGGGGAGGCGUUACCCGCAGAAGAAGCACCGGCUAACUCCGUGCCAGUAGCCGCGGUAAUAC
RNAcentral lists this ribosomal RNA (406 nucleotides) under uncultured bacterium. Its description in RNAcentral is "partial 16S ribosomal RNA". It matches the Rfam family "Bacterial small subunit ribosomal RNA", at positions 30 to 526 of the family's 1533-position model. The record is from RNAcentral.